Molecule: ribosomal RNA, 497 nt
Filed under: uncultured bacterium
Lineage: Bacteria
Description: partial 16S ribosomal RNA
Rfam family: Bacterial small subunit ribosomal RNA
Source: RNAcentral
GAUGAACGCUGGCGGCGUGCCUAAUACAUGCAAGUCGAGCGAACAGACGAGGAGCUUGCUCCUUUGACGUUAGCGGCGGACGGGUGAGUAACACGUGGGUAACCUACCUAUAAGACUGGGAUAACUUCGGGAAACCGGAGCUAAUACCGGAUAAUAUUUCGAACCGCAUUGUUCGAUAGUGAAAGACGGCUUUGCUAUCACUUAUAGAUGGACCUGCGCCGUAUUAGCUAGUUGGUAAGGUAACGGCUUACCAAGGCAACCAUACGUAGCCGACCUGAGAGGGUGAUCGGCGACACUGGAAGUGAGACACGGUCCAGACUCCUACGGGAGGCAGCAGUAGGGAAUCGUCCGCAAUGGGCGAAAGCCUGACGGAGCAACGCCGCGUGAGUGAUGAAGGUCUUCGGAUCGUAAAACUCGGUUAUUAGGGAAGAACAAACGUGUAAGUAACUGUGCACGUCUUGACGGUACCUAAUCAGAAAGCCCCGGCUAACUACGUG